GUGGGAAGGGGACAAAAAAAACCUAUUCAUAAAAUUGACCGCGUGUCUCCGGCUCGGCGUCCGCGACGCGCGCGCGCACAGACACACACACUACCACCGCGCCGCGCCGUCACCGCCGGGGUAGCCCCUCGAUGUCGUCAGUCGCCGUUUCCGAUCCCUCCAGGCUACACUGCCGCCGCGCCGUCGCCGCCGAGCGGCUUGGCGCUGGCGACGAAGGACGGUGCGUCGUGGUCGCCUGGCAUGAACACAACGACCUUGGGCUCGCGGUGCAGCGGGUCGAGGGCCCGCGCCGCCGCCGCCGCCUCGGCCGCCGCCUUCUCGUCGGCCCCCUGCGGCGAGGACGACGGCAGCUUCUUGCGCAUGCAGAUGAGCACGGCGAGCGCCACCGCGACGACGCCCAUCAU
This 404-nucleotide unclassified non-coding RNA is filed under the name Zea mays. RNAcentral describes it as "misc RNA Zm00001eb387650". Lineage: Eukaryota; Viridiplantae; Streptophyta; Magnoliopsida; Poales; Poaceae. The record is from RNAcentral.